CUCUCGGAGUGACGGGUACACUGUGGGGACCGCCGCUGCUAAAGCGGAGGAAGGAAUGGGCAACGGUAGGUCAGUAUGCCCCGAAUAUCCCGGGCUACACGCGAGCUACAAUGGUUGGUACAAUGGGUAUCUACCCCGAAAGGGGACGGGAAUCUCCUAAACCAAUCUUAGUUCGGAUUGAGGGCUGCAACUCGCCCUCAUGAAGCUGGAAUCCGUAGUAAUCGCGUUUCAACAGAACGCGGUGAAUACGUCCCUGCUCCUU
RNAcentral lists this ribosomal RNA (262 nucleotides) under uncultured Methanosaeta sp. Its description in RNAcentral is "partial 16S ribosomal RNA". It matches the Rfam family "Archaeal small subunit ribosomal RNA", at positions 1075 to 1338 of the family's 1478-position model. The record is from RNAcentral. Lineage: Archaea; Methanobacteriati; Methanobacteriota; Methanomicrobia; Methanotrichales; Methanotrichaceae.